UCACCUAACAGCUAGCCCGUUAUUAAAAUACAACAAUUCAAUAUAAAUUAACCCCAAAUACACUAAAAUCAAAUAAACAAAUCAUUUUUCCACCUUAGUAUGGGCGACAGAAAAGGUAAGUAGGAGCAAUAGAGAAAGUACCGCAAGGGAACGCUGAAAGAGAAAUGAAAUAAAUCAGUAAAGUAUAAAAAAGCAGAGAUUAACACUCGUACCUUUUGCAUCAUGAUUUAGCAAGAAAUUAUCAAGCAAAGAGCACUUUAGUUUGACUCCCCGAAACUAAGUGAGCUACUCCAAGUCAGCCUAUUAAUAGGGCAAACCCGUCUCUGUAGCAAAAGGGUGGGAAGAACUUAGAGUAGAGGUGAUAGACCUACCGAACUUAGUUAUAGCUGGUUGCUUGGGAAAUGAAUAGAAGUUCAGCCUUUCAAUUUCUCAUUUCCUAAAUGCCUCCGCUAACAAUGAUUUAAAAGAAAUUGAAAGAGUUAGUUAAAGGGGGUACAGCCCCUUUAAAUCAAGAUACAACUUUUUAAGAUGGGUAAAGAUCAUAUUCUUUAAGGCAAAAUGUUUUAGUGGGCCUAAAAGCAGCCAUCUAAAGAAAGCGUUAAAGCUCAGACAUUAAAUCUUAAUCCUUUAAUACCGAUAAAUUAUCUCACCCCACUUAGCCUACCAAGCCACCCCAUGCCUCCAUGGGGGUGAUUAUGCUAAUAUGAGUAAUAAGAAAAAUAAUUUCUCCUUGCACAUGUGUACAUCGGAACGGACCCCCCACCGAAAAUUAUACGGCCCCAAACCAAGAGGGUAAUGAAAUAAUAAAAUAAACAACAAGAAAUACUACCAAAUACCCACCGUUAACCCCACACAGGAGUGCUUCAAAGGAAAGACUAAAAGAAAAAGAAGGAACUCGGCAAACACAAGCCUCGCCUGUUUACCAAAAACAUCGCCUCUUGCAAGUAAUGAAUAAGAGGUCCCGCCUGCCCUGUGACAAAAGUUUAACGGCCGCGGUAUUUUGACCGUGCAAAGGUAGCGUAAUCACUUGUCUUUUAAAUGAAGACCUGUAUGAAUGGCAUAACGAGGGCUUAACUGUCUCCUUUUUCUGGUCAAUGAAAUUGAUCUCUCCGUGCAGAAGCGGGGAUAAUUACAUAAGACGAGAAGACCCUAUGGAGCUUUAGACACCAAAGCAGAUCUUGUUAAAUACCCAAAAUAAAGGAUAAUAAACCAAAAGUUAAACCUGCCCUAUUGUCUUUGGUUGGGGCGACCGUGGGGAAAUAAAAAUCCCCCAUGCGGACUGAGAAUAAUAGUUCUUAAAAACAAGAGCCACAGCUCUAGUUAACAGAAAUUCUGACCUUUAGAUCCGGCAAUGCCGAUCAACGGACCGAGUUACCCUAGGGAUAACAGCGCAAUCCUCUUUUAGAGCCCAUAUCGACAAGAGGGUUUACGACCUCGAUGUUGGAUCAGGACAUCCUAAUGGUGCAGCCGCUAUUAAGGGUUCGUUUGUUCAACGAUUAAAGUCCUACGUGAUCUGAGUUCAGACCGGAGUAAUCCAGGUCAGUUUCUAUCUAUGAAAUGAUCUUUUCUAGUACGAAAGGACCGAAAAGAAGAGGCCUAUGCUUUAAGCAAGCCUCACCCCCACCUAAUGAAAACAACUAAAUUAGGCAUAAGGGCAUACCCCUUAUGUCUAAGAAAAUGACAU
RNAcentral lists this ribosomal RNA (1684 nucleotides) under Trichogaster lalius (dwarf gourami). RNAcentral's name for it is "16S rRNA". It matches the Rfam family "Bacterial large subunit ribosomal RNA". The record is from RNAcentral. Lineage: Eukaryota; Metazoa; Chordata; Actinopteri; Anabantiformes; Osphronemidae.